UGGAAGUGCAAGGAAGUCAAGUGAUGCCCUCAUUAUCAUACAGCCAGUAAGAGCAGAGCUUGCCAGGCACGUAGGCUUGCCUGAUUCCAAACACCAGAGCAGCAAAUAAGACUUGUCCUCCCAACCAUACCUUCUCCAGCCCACCAUGAGGAUUUUCACAUCCUGAGCUUUUGCCAACAUAGUUUCCUGUGCUUAGAGUUUAUCUGCCAGCUCAGAUGUCACCUCCUCUAAGAAGCCUCCCAUUUCCACUCUCCUGCUAACAGUUGGAGUGGAGCACAUGAGUCUUUGACUGAAGCAGAUUAGUACAGCAGUCAUUACUAAGGAAAAUGAAACAAUCUCUAGGCCACAGGAAAUCGCACAAGAUUAGAAAAUCCCUGUGGUAUGAGAGAAAAAACUUCAAGUGGAUUUCUGAGUCCCAUAAAUGACGUAAAGAAUAGCAGAUGUUCAAAGAC
Molecule: long non-coding RNA, 452 nt
Filed under: Heterocephalus glaber (naked mole-rat)
Lineage: Eukaryota; Metazoa; Chordata; Mammalia; Rodentia; Bathyergidae
Description: lncRNA (ENSHGLG00100036143.1)
Source: RNAcentral